RNAcentral lists this ribosomal RNA (253 nucleotides) under uncultured bacterium. RNAcentral describes it as "partial 16S ribosomal RNA". It matches the Rfam family "Bacterial small subunit ribosomal RNA", at positions 524 to 776 of the family's 1533-position model. The record is from RNAcentral.
UACGGAGGGGGCAAGCGUUGUUCGGAAUUACUGGGCGUAAAGCGCGUGUAGGCGGUCGCUUAAGUCUGAUGUGAAAGCCCGGGGCUUAACCCCGGAAGGGCAUUGGAAACUGGGCGACUGGAGUACCGGAGAGGAGAGUGGAAUUCCUGGUGUAGCGGUGAAAUGCGUAGAUAUCAGGAGGAACACCGGUGGCGAAGGCGGCCCUCUGGACGGAUACUGACGCUGAGACGCGAAAGCGUGGGGAGCGAACAGG